RNAcentral lists this transfer RNA (74 nucleotides) under Chloroflexi bacterium B3_Chlor. RNAcentral describes it as "tRNA-Arg". It matches the Rfam family "tRNA". From Rfam's summary of the family: Transfer RNA (tRNA) molecules are approximately 80 nucleotides in length. Their secondary structure includes four short double-helical elements and three loops (D, anti-codon, and T loops). Further hydrogen bonds mediate the characteristic L-shaped molecular structure. tRNAs have two regions of fundamental functional importance: the anti-codon, which is responsible for specific mRNA codon recognition, and the 3' end, to which the tRNAs corresponding amino acid is attached (by aminoacyl-tRNA synthetases). tRNAs cope with the degeneracy of the genetic code in two manners: having more than one tRNA (with a specific anti-codon) for a particular amino acid; and 'wobble' base-pairing, i.e. permitting non-standard base-pairing at the 3rd anti-codon position. RNAcentral also lists the same sequence under 1 other name. Lineage: Bacteria; Bacillati; Chloroflexota. The record is from RNAcentral.
GCGCCGAUAGCUCAAUGGGACAGAGCAACUGACUACGAAUCAGUAGGUUGGGGGCUGAAAUCCUCUCCGGCGCA